RNA transcript from Leptopilina heterotoma, 3149 nucleotides. It is a transcript of the gene named DNA repair and recombination protein RAD54-like, with no coding region annotated. The transcript has 12 exons. The record is from RefSeq and is a predicted model, not a curated record. NCBI's taxonomy places the organism in Eukaryota, Metazoa, Arthropoda, Insecta, Hymenoptera, Figitidae.
CUCAACCGACUUUUAUUACAAACAAAACAGUGCAAAACAAAAAGUGUGUUCGUUCUUGUGUUGUUAGUUAUUUUUGUAUCUAAUAAUUGCACUUUCCUUAAGUUUAUAUGAUAUUUAUGUAUGAAAUUAUGACUACCUAGAGUGGGAAAUAUUUUUAUUCUUCAAAUUGAAGUGAUAUUCAAUGAAUUAAUGGAGGAAUCUUUUUCGUUUGUCUACUAACCUCAAAAUUCAAAAUGAUAAGACACUUCGCCCCGAGUCAGAGGGGCAAGCGUCCACUCGUUUCGGACAAUUGUAAUGAGCUGCCUUUCGUGAAACCUGCGACAAUCAUAGUACAGAAGGAGAAACGUAGCAGAAAAACAAAGGAAGUUGUUAUUAAAGAACUCAAGCCGCUACUUCUUUCUGAUCAAGAUCUCCACGCUACACAAGAAGUUAUAUCCGAACAUGAACUCAGAGUUCGGAAACUUUUAAGUAAACCAUUUAAAAUUCCAAUUCCCGGCUAUGAACUCUCGGGUCGUUCUCUGGGUUUUCGAUUAUCAGGUCCUAGAAGAGCUCUACACGAUCCUGAUGAGGCGAAUGCUUUGGUCGUUUAUGUUCCACCUGAAAUAUCCGAACACGAUAAAAUAAAACUCGAUGCAAAUAAGCAAUUGGUACAUGUAGUGGUGGAUCCUUUGCUGUGCAACAUUCUGCGGCCACAUCAGAGGGAAGGCGUCAAGUUUAUGUACGAAUGUGUCACUGGAGUUCGUAUAGAGGAUGCUUACGGAUGCAUAAUGGCCGAUGAAAUGGGUCUCGGUAAAACGUUACAGUGUAUAACACUUUUGUGGACUCUUUUGAAACAGGGCCCCGAAGCAAAACCCUUAAUCGAAAAAGCAAUAAUAGUAUCUCCAAGUUCUCUUGUGAAAAACUGGUACAACGAAAUCUUCAAAUGGCUGAACAACAGAGUGAAACCCCUCGCGAUCGACGGGGGCAGUAAGAACGACAUAGACGCAAAGCUCAGAGGUUUCAUGAAGACAUACGGACGAAGAUGCGCAAAUCCAAUUCUCAUUAUUAGUUACGAAACAUUUCGUAUGCACGCUCACGUGCUACAUGAAGACGAAGUCGGCCUCGUCCUUUGCGACGAAGGUCAUCGUCUCAAAAAUUGCGAGAACCAAACGUAUCAAGCUCUGAUGGGUAUAAAGGCAAAGCGAAGAGUACUUCUUAGUGGAACCCCAAUUCAGAAUGAUCUUCUCGAGUAUUUCUCCCUCAUUCAGUUCGUAAAUCAAGGAUUACUUGGAUCUGCGCAGGAAUUUAGAAAAAAAUUCGAAAAUCCAAUUCUUCGCGGUCAGGAUGCAAUGGCAAGUGAUAAAGAGCGGGCAUUGGCUCAGGAGAGAUUGGCAGAGUUGGUGGCAGUUGUCAAUAAGUGUCUUAUCAGAAGAACUAGUGCUCUGCUUUCCAAAUAUUUACCUUUGAAACAUGAAUUGGUUGUUUGUAUAAAAAUGAGCGCUUUACAGAAUCAGCUUUACAAGAACUUUAUCAAAAGUGAUAGUAUUAAGAGAUCAAUGCAAGAAAAAGAAAACGUCAAAAAUGGAAAAAGCAUUACUGCUUUGUCUGCAAUAACACUCUUAAAAAAGUUGUGCAAUCAUCCCGAUUUAGUUUAUGAGAAAAUUAAAGAGAACUCGGAAGGAUUUGAAGGAGCUUCAAAAUUACUGCCGGCAAAUUACAGUACAAAAGAAGUGCAGCCCGAAUUAUCUGGAAAGCUGAUGGUGCUCGACUGUCUCUUGGCUUCAAUUAAAUCAACAACCACCGAUAAAAUUGUCCUCGUCUCCAACUACACCCAGACGUUGGAUCUUUUCGAAAAACUGUCCCACAAACGAAGUUAUCGCUAUGUGAGAUUGGACGGUUCAAUGACAAUAAAGAAGAGAGCGAAGAUUGUAGAAUCCUUCAACGAUCCCAACAGUUCGGACUUCAUCUUCAUGCUGAGUUCAAAAGCCGGCGGUUGUGGUUUGAAUUUAAUUGGCGCAAAUCGUCUUGUCAUGUUCGAUCCAGACUGGAAUCCGGCGAACGACGAUCAAGCCAUGGCUCGCGUUUGGAGAGACGGACAGAAAAAGCCCUGUUUCGUUUAUCGCUUUCUUUGCACUGGUACGAUUGAAGAGAAGAUUUUCCAGCGACAGGCUCACAAGAAGGCUUUGAGUUCGACUGUCGUCGAUCAGGACGAAGACGUAGCUCGACACUUUACUCUUAGCGAUUUAAGAGAUCUUUUCAGAUUAGAGGAAAAUACUAUUUCUGAUACUCAUUCCAAAUUUAAAUGCAAGAGAUGUGUGAACGGAGUGGAAGUAAAAGGACCUCCAGAAAAUUCUGACUGCACAUCCGAUCUAUCGGAUUGGAGGCAUUCCCACACUCCGAAACAUUUGCCAGACAUACCUCUUCGACAGUGUUGGUCCAGUGGCAUUUCUUUUGUCUUUCAUCAUCGUUCUCAUGAACAAGUCACUACGUGACUGGUGAUUCAUCCAAGAGAACGCAGAACGGUAGAAAAAUAAUUAAUUAACAUGUCUGCAUUCCUUUGGAUGAACUUGUUUUAGGGGGUGUCAAAGACUAGCCAACUGUUCGAUAAAAGCUUCCAUGGAAAAAUUCAAUCGACUUUGACAUCCCUUCGAGUUGUUUUGUACAAAAAAUAUGAUUUUUCUUUACCAAGAUGUGGAUUAAGGACUUUUUCCCCCGUCGUUUCAUUCAAGGCAAGAAUUUGCACACUAUUGUUCAUUCGACUUGUAUCAUUCAUAAUAUUAACAUUAAUGUGAUUUACGUACGUCAAUUUAUUUUUAUUAUCAGCAAAAUCAUUUUUCUCUAAUUGAAAGUUUAAAUUUGUUGAAAUACUUUUGAAUUUUGUUCCGUUGUUUGAAAAUGUUUCUUUGUCAUCUUGUGAAAAUAACGUAGAGUUUAUAUUUUCUUUAAUUGGCUCUUCUAAACUUCCAAUUACCAGAAACAUUUUGGCAAAAUCGACAGAUAGUCUGGAUUUUUUCUUUUCAGAAUUGCCAUUUGUCGCAUUAUUUAUGGUAUUUUUACUAUCUUCUGGAAUUUCAACAAACUCGUCACUCUUUUCAUUGAAAUCUUCUGCCCCUUGUAAGACCUAAAAAGAAAAUUCAAUGUUCUGCAAAAAUAUAUUAUUUACUAAAUAU